UUCGUUAACGGAAUUAAC
This 18-nucleotide small nuclear RNA is filed under the name Arabidopsis thaliana (thale cress). RNAcentral's name for it is "snRNA_02344". Lineage: Eukaryota; Viridiplantae; Streptophyta; Magnoliopsida; Brassicales; Brassicaceae. The record is from RNAcentral.